Molecule: unclassified non-coding RNA, 2125 nt
Filed under: uncultured fungus
Lineage: Eukaryota; Fungi
Description: sequence contains 18S rRNA gene, ITS1, 5.8S rRNA gene, ITS2, 28S rRNA gene
Rfam family: Eukaryotic large subunit ribosomal RNA (bases 983-2125)
Source: RNAcentral
GGAAGGAUCAUUAACACGUCCAAGUCCCAUAUACAAACCCGUGUGAACCCCAAGACAGUGGGAAUGCAAUCAAGGAUGGAGGAUCCCUUGAGUUGCCCACCUCUGUGGUUGUUAUUCCAUCUGUGGUCUAUCCUAUUUGGAAUAGCAAUCGAAAGGAAACAGCGUGAACUCAUACGUUGCUAAUUGUAUGUAUCUUCUCUUAUGGUUCGCAUUGGUGGAGAAGUUGCUGUGCUGGUGGCGCGUAUUGGCAUUGGCCUUCAAUAAUCCCUAGCAGGGCAGAAGCAUUUUCGUAAUGCUGCUGUGCUUGCUAGCGUCUGUUGGCGGUGGCCUUUAAUAAGUCGUAGCCGGGCAGAAGCUUUUCUAUAAUGCGGGGAGAUUAUACUGCUUUAGCAGGGUAUUUGUUCAUUGCAACCUCCGCUUUUUAAAUAUUUUUACCACAAUUACUUGUUGACUAAUAGUUUAGCAGCGUGUGGUUCUCACCGCUGACUAAAUAACAAAUAAAUACAACUUUCAGCAACGGAUAUCUUGGUUCCUCGCAACGAUGAAGAACGCAGCGAAAUGCGAUACGUAAUGCGAAUUGCAGAAUUCAGUGAAUCAUCGAAUCUUUGAACGCAAAUUGCGCUUCCGGGUAUUCCUGGGAGCAUGCCUCUUUGAGUAUCGUUAACAACACCACUCUCCUUUUUGGAUGUUCAAGCUUUACACUCAGAUGUCUGUUCUGUAUGUAAAGGCUUGAGCAGACUUUCUUGGAGGAUUUGGAUGUUCAUGCUGUAAAAGGCAUGUCGUCUUAAGAUCAUCUUACUUAGGAAAAUACUCUAAUAAGACUCCUUAUAUGGUACACUUUCCUUCAAUAAGAUAUACUUGCUAUAGCUUUUUGAUGGCAUUGCAUCAUAGUAAAGGACUUAUCAAGGUGUUUUCCGAAAUAAGAACACAAACGAAGGAAAAGCCGGAAAUAUAGGCUUAAGUGUCUAGUUUCCGUUUGUUUUGAUCUCAAAUGAGGUAAGAAGACCCGCUGAAUUUAAGCAUAUAAAUAAGCGGAGGAAAAGAAACUAACAAGGAUUCCCCUAGUAACGGCGAGUGAAGCGGGAAGAGCUCAGCUUGAAAAUCGGAGGCCUUUAUGGUCUUUGAAUUGUAGUCUAGAGAAGCAAUGUCCGCUGUGGCCCAGGUCUAAGUCCUUUGGAACAAGGUGUCAAAGAGGGUGAGAACCCCGUUUGGGCUUGGAGUCUGCUGCGUACGACGUGCUUUCUACGAGUCGGGUUGUUUGGGAUUGCAGCCCUAAUUGGGAGGUAAAUUUCUUCUAAAGCUAAAUACUGGCGAGAGACCGAUAGCGAACAAGUACCGUGAGGGAAAGAUGAAAAGAACUUUGAAAAGAGAGUUAAAAGUGCUUGAAAUUGCUGAAAGGGAAGCGAUGGAAAACCAACACUGCGCGUACUCAUAUUUUGCUUUUGUGGAUAUCAGUCUCUCCAGAGCUUGAGUUUAUACCGGUUCUGGUUUGCCUGCAUAUUUUCAAAGGUGUCCUGUGGGUAUGGGCGAGUCAAAAUCAAUUCAUUUGGUAGUAGAUGAGCUGAGAGAAGGUACCAGGAAUACAAGAACUUGUAUUUCUGGGAAAUAUCUUUCAGUUAACACUACUGUCUGGAUUGAGGUUUGCCAGUGUAUGCCAUCUGGCAGCGCUUCUGAUUCUCUGCUGUGCUCAAUGGUAAUGGAUAACAAAGUUAUGCUUUGCUUAUUGAGUUGGCAUUAGGGUCAGUCGUGUCUAAUACACUGGUGAUUUUGACGCAAUGGUUUUCUUCACCGACCCGUCUUGAAACACGGACCAAGGAGUCUAACAUAUAUGCAAGUAUUUGGGUGUUAAACCCUGAUGCGUAAUGAAAAGUAAAGGUCUUCGGACUUAGGUAGGAUUCCCUUAGUUUUCGAACGGGGAUGCACCAUCGACCGAUCGUCCACUUGUGGAAGAUUUGAGUAAGAGCAUAUCUGUUGGGACCUCGAAAGAUGGUGAACUAUGCCUGGACAGGGCGAAGCCAGGGGAAACCCUGGUGGAGGCUCGUAGCGAUACUGACGUGCAAAUCGUUCGUCUGAUCUGGGUAUAGGGGCGAAAGACUAAUCGAACCAUCUAGUAGCUGGUUCCCUC